RNAcentral lists this ribosomal RNA (253 nucleotides) under uncultured bacterium. Its description in RNAcentral is "partial 16S ribosomal RNA". It matches the Rfam family "Bacterial small subunit ribosomal RNA", at positions 524 to 776 of the family's 1533-position model. The record is from RNAcentral.
GACGAACCGAGCGAACGUUAUUCGGAAUCAUUGGGCGUAAAGAGCGCGUAGGCGGCCCGGUAAGUCCGCUGUGAAAGUCAAAGGCUCAACCUUUGAAUGUCAGCGGAUACUGCCGGGCUAGAGUCCGGAAGAGGCGAGUGGAACUCCUGGUGUAGCGGUGGAAUGCGCAGAUAUCAGGAAGAACACCAACGGCGAAGGCAGCUCGCUGGGACGGAACUGACGCUGAGGCGCGAAAGCGUGGGGAGCGAACAGG